UUUUUUAAUGUUAACAAUAGGUAUUAAUUAAUAAAGAGAAAAACUCCAAUAGUACAAUUACCGAGAAAAAAAAUAGGGUAAUAAACCCUACUUCAAAAAAGGAACAACCAACACUCCUGAAACACAAUCGAUUUCAAAAGCUUGAAGACUCUACUAUAUCAAGAAGCUUGGAACACCCGCUGACCACUUGAAACAAAGAAGCCUAUGCCCCCUUAAUUAGAAGUCCCAAGCCUCACCAACUCGAAUUCACAUCUAAGCACCUUCCCUUUGCAAGAAUCACACAUGUGUCGGGGCUGGGGCGACCUUCCCUUUGCAAGAAUCACACAUGUCGGGGUUGGGGCGACAGCCUGACGGUGCCCAAAUACUCUCGAUAAGCUCGUGGCGACAUCUAAAAGGAGUCGGUGAAACCAUCAGCCAAAAGUAGGGUAAAAAGAAAAGAGCGAGAUGAUGGAAGAAGGGAGAAAAACCAGAAAGGGGGCAGCCGACGAAUCAAGACAAGGAAAAAGAGAAAGAUAUCGCGAACAACUCGACCAGGAAGCUGUGUAGGCCAGAGUAGAAGAUCUUACUUCCCAAGAGGAAGGGAAAUUGCUACGUGACAGGGGAGAAGUGGCCCUCGGCAAAGCCAAUCCUGUUUUGGGCAUUAAACAAAGGAAGCAAAAUCUUCUCCUGACGAGGAAAAAAAAGUGUCUUUCAACAAACUGACAUUAAUGACCUAACUCACGGGUUGACAAGGUCUCGGAUUCCCAAAGAAGGGAAAACCCUACCUAAAAGAGGUGUAAGUGAGAAACAAGAGAUAGCGAGCAGGAGGGUAAGGAAAAAGGGCUGGAAGGUCAAGCCUCUAGGGGUAAAGAGGCGGAGGGGGGUGGUGAAGGGUGGAGGAAGAGGCAGCUGAUGCUCCUGGUGGUCGUGGCGAAGACGGCAGCUGCUGCUGCUAGACAUUAGAGACGGUGGCUGUAGCUGCAGAGUAAACCCUAGCAGAGCUCUGUUCAAGUGGGAGGGAGCUGCUGAUUGGCAGAAGAAAAGAUGGCUACUACUAGUGCUGCUCCUUGCGGUGCUGGCGAAGGCAGCGGCUACUGCUAGAUGAAGGAGACGGUGACUGCGGCUGCAACCCAAACCCUAAAACAAGGCCUCGAUCAGAGAAGAGGAGGCCAACCCCUCUUUGCAUGAUCAUGAAAUAUGCAUUGUCGAAAGCGUUUCUUGUUGGGCCGGCCGAGUGGUGCCUCGACAAUGUCUCCCUUUGCAAAUGUGCUCGGCAGUGUCUUAGCGAAGUCUGGGUUCAGGGUCUGCAUGGUGAGUUGAGUUGCUUAGGCGACUCUUGAAAGAGGAGCACCGAGGGUGUUUAGAGCCUCGCUCUUGUAUAAAUUUUUCCUCCAGACAAAUAUUUUGCCAUUAUAGAUCUCCUACUACUAUUUAUCAAAUGUCGUCAUGACAACAACUCUGAUAUCGAAGUGAAGAAGUUAUGCCCAUCAAAAGUUGCACUUUCACUUUAGAGGGAUAGAGCAAUCUUUCUCCUUCUUUAUAGAGGCUAAACUAGAAAGAAAAGGCUUUUUAUGUUCUUCUAUCCUCCCCCCUUUAUCUUUAUAGAGGCUAAACUAGAAAGGAAAAGCUUUUUAUGUUCUUCUAUCCUCCCCCCUUUUAUCCAACGGUCCACUUUUUAAUGGAGGUUUAAGAUUAUCUCAAUCACAACGUCACGUCUCUAUAUUGUUAUAUUUUUAAAUUUUUUUUUGUACAAACUGUUUUGAUACCAAAUUUUGGACGUCCAUUCUUCUAUUAAACUAGCAUGCUAGCAUGUACAAAAAAAUAUAAAAAAAAUAUUUUUAAUAAAAUAAACGGACCAAAAUAUCUUUGAAAGUUUUAAGGGAUAUUUUGAUCAUUAGUUUUUAUCGAAAAAUUAUUGUUAGUAUUUUUUAUAGGUGUACCCUAAUGAAAAGAUGGCACGUACCAAAUUUCAUAUUCAGAAAAAUUGUAUUAAAAAAAACCAAAAAUAAAAUAACAUCGGAUCUAAGAUCAAACGGUGGGUGGCUCUCUUGAUAAAAAAUAGACCGCUGGAUGAUAGGGGGAGGAUAGAACUUCUAUGUUGUUGAAAAAAUAUAAAAAUCUUUCCCAACCAGAAAAGUGUCACUUCAAUUCAGGAUUUAUUAAGAGUUAUAUUUACAUUAGAAUUCGGACCGAGGACCUCCAAUUAAAUGUGGCUUUACACCAAAUGUGGUGUAGCCUAACAAUUCCAGAUAACCUUAUCGAAGAAAAUUUACAAAGGGUUAAUUGAUUCAUCCAAUAUCAAUCCUCAACCAUAAAAACAGAAUAUCAAAGUCAAAAAGGAAAAUGACACAAACAAAGGUGUGUAUCUUUCAGCAACAAGUAAUACCAGUCAAAUUAACGAAUUGUAAUCUAUUGUUAACUUUUUCAAUUUUUUCUAGCCCAAAUAUUGGGAUGCCAAUUUUUAUACUUCUCUUCGGAAAUCCAUAAAACACUUAGAAAUUCAAACUCCUCCUCCACAAACAUUUGAAAUAGUUUUCCAUUUUUAAAUUUUCAAUUUGUCCUACCAAAAUGAUGAUCUCAUUGACUCAUUUAGGAUCCAAUAAAUUGCAGAGAAAAUCAGAAAUUGCACAGAAAAAUCAGUCGAUACAAUUCAAGAAACUCUCAAUCGAACACUCUCCAAACUAAGAUCAAUCAAAUAUGAAUAAAACCUUCAAACUAUAGAAUCAAUCUAAACUACCUGGCUGUAAAUGAAGCAAGAAAAAGAGGCUUGAGGAGAGCCGGAAAUCAUGGAGGGAUUUCUCUCACUAAAACCUAUCAAAUAAGAUAGAGAGAGUACCUUUAGAGAUGGGGCUUCAAUGGCUGUAUAGAGAGAGAUGGAGUUCCACCAAGUAGAGAGAGAGAAAGUUGGGUUUUUCUGCUGUACAGAGAGAGAGGGAGGACCACCACCUAGAGAGAGAGAGAGGN
RNAcentral lists this long non-coding RNA (2943 nucleotides) under Amborella trichopoda. RNAcentral describes it as "long non-coding RNA (ATRI_LNC002605)". Lineage: Eukaryota; Viridiplantae; Streptophyta; Magnoliopsida; Amborellales; Amborellaceae. The record is from RNAcentral.